GACGAACGCUGGCGGCGUGCUUAACACAUGCAAGUCGAACGGUAAGGCCCUUCGGGGUACACGAGUGGCGAACGGGUGAGUAACACGUGGGUGAUCUGCCCUGCACUUCGGGAUAAGCCUGGGAAACUGGGUCUAAUACCGGAUAGGACCACUGCCUGCAUGGGUGGUGGUGGAAAGCUUUUGCGGUGUGGGAUGGGCCCGCGGCCUAUCAGCUUGUUGGUGGGGUGAUGGCCUACCAAGGCGACGACGGGUAGCCGGCCUGAGAGGGUGACCGGCCACACUGGGACUGAGAUACGGCCCAGACUCCUACGGGAGGCAGCCGUGGGGAAUAUUGCACAAUGGGCGCAAGCCUGAUGGAGCAACGCCGCGUGCAGGAUGAAGGCCUUCGGGUUGUAAACUGCUUUUAUAAGUGAAGAAUAUGACGGUAACUUAUGAAUAAGCACCGGCUAACUACGUGCCAGCAGCCGCCGUAA
Molecule: ribosomal RNA, 473 nt
Filed under: uncultured bacterium
Lineage: Bacteria
Description: partial 16S ribosomal RNA
Rfam family: Bacterial small subunit ribosomal RNA
Source: RNAcentral